ACUUCUUGGGUGCUACAGAGCAGUCUGCCCUCUCCAGAGUUAGUAAAUAGCUAUUCUAGGUCAAUGAACAAUAGCCUGAUGGCUUUAAGAGUUAAUCCUCCACAUGCUUCCCAUACUCCUCUGAGUCAUUAAUUAAACCGGCAGCACCUGGCUUAGUAUUUAUAAAAUACUUUACACAUCUGAGAGGGAAGUAAAAACUGAGAGCUCUGUGGAUCCAUUUCUAUUGUUAAGCAUUACUUAAAGUACUAGGGCUUCACUUGGUAACUUCCAGACAGCUCUUGCAUGAAAUCCCAAAUCCAAGUCACUGGCAUUUUUGCUCACAAUAACUUAUGUUUAUAACUCAGUACCCCGAGUAACUUUUUUUAGGGCAAGUCUGCAUAUUAUAGUGUAUCACACAUCUCAAGGCCUCUUUCCAAACACUGUUUUGACACAGUGUGUUAACAGUGAAUUAUUCAUUGUUACCUGCAUGAAGGACUAAUGCUCAGAGUGGCUGGGAACAGCUUACCAGUUGUUGGCUCAAUUGUGCAGCUCUAUUUAAAGCUCUAGUGGGUAAUUCAGUUGAUGGCAAACUUCACUUUGACACAGUGCCAUAGCACAUCCAUUAGUGCCCUCACUAGAGUACAAACAUCUGCUUGCUUUUAUUGUCCAUGUGUUACUUAAGAUAGUCUGCUUCUUUAUGACGUAAAUCACUGGAAUCCACUGACUAUUUUUAAAGACUCUUUUAGUGCUUCCUUGAAAUGAUCACUCUAUAGUUGUUUAAUAGAUAAUUGGCCCUUUAGGUACACAAAAAUUACAAAGAUGAAAUUUUCUACUCUUCUGACCUUUUCCAGAGAUGGCGUUAUGACUAAAGUACCCUGGCUUGUUGUAAGAUUCUGUCUUUGAGGGUUGUGUGAUUCAUAGGUUCACAUCAGCACAGCAUGUUAAAAGAAACUGCAUUUCUGGCUAAUUGACCCAAGGGAACUUGCUUGUUUUCUUUUGUUCACUGACCAGAGUUGUGUGCGUUUGCUUCUCUCAGUUCACCUUGAAAGGCUUUGCUAUCGACUUCUUUACGUAUUUAUCUUGUCCUGACAGACUGCUGAGCAAUUUGCUUGCCCUCUAGUUUAUUCACGUGUCCAGUACAGAUAAGUUUAGUGGCAGCCAGCUCUAUCAUUUUCAUUCCAAUGGACUGGCUGUAUUCCAGAGUCCCUUUCAUCAGCAAUUUUGCCUUACCUUUUGGCUAGUAAAGGCCUAAAGCUAUAGGAUUCCAUGAUACAAAAGCUCUAACAUAUGAAAAACAAACACCGUCAAAUAUGAUCAAAAAUCUGAGCAAGGAUUGAUCUUAGGUGUAAUGAAUACUAAUAUGACUCUCCUCAGCCCAAUAAUUAGACAAUCUCGGGAGGCCAUGACCAUGCAUACUUGGUCUUAUAAGUUGUAAAAUAGUCCACAAUAAUCCAUCUGGAAGAGCACUUUCAUAUUACACCAUAAAAUGGAGCUCUUACUCAGGUCCUAGGAUUGCAAGGAGCCAGGAAGUUGCCAGGAAUUUCCUAAGGGAAGAAUUUUGGAAGAUGAUAAUUUGAGGAUUGUGAAAGUUCUGAGACUUGCCAGAGAAUUAAGACAAGGACUAAUUGGUUGAUUCUGAGAGUGCAGAGAGAAUAUUGGUGGCUAUGUGAGGUUGCAAUGAUUUCUUUCCCCAUGGCAUCUAUGUGUUUCUUGUUCUCUCUGAAUAUUGAAUUCAUGAGAAUGGAAAAGAGAAAAAGAUUGUGUCCCAAAGGGAAACAUUUAGAGAGCUGGGGGAAAAGAGCACCUACUACCUCAUGACUGAGAAAGGAGAGAAUGCAAUGCAGAGACCUGAAGUCGCUAACUGCAAAUAAAAUUAACAAUUCUUCUGUACUGUUUAAGACAAAGAUUUUGUGUUCCAUAAGUAACAAAUAGAGGGGCAUGAAUAAAGAAGAGUCUCAUAGUAAAUUUGAAUUCAAACUUAUUUCAUCUGGAGCUGACAAAGGCUCAGUGGGUUUAAAUUCCUUACCACCAAGCCUGACAACCUGAGAUGGAUUCUUGGACCUACAUUGUGGAAGGUGAGAACUGACUCAUGUAGGGUUGUCAUCUGAUUCAGACAAACUCACUAAGGCACAAUAUAUGUGUCCAUACCUAUAUGCAUGUGUGAAUGUGUGCAGAAGCACACAUGCAUGUACACACAUACACACACACACACACACACACACACACACACACACACACACACAUUUUCCCAUUCCAGUCAGAGGAAAGUGUAAGAAAGUAACUUACCUUGUUUUCAUAGUCUGUAGUUUGCCACAGCCACCAUCACUAGCUGUUUAAUGCCCUCUAAUGUUGCACAGAAAUACUUAGAAGUACGGCCAUAUUUAGUGCUACAAAAACAUAACUCAGUAGUCACUUGCAAGCUGGAUGGGAAACAUUUAAUCCCCUGGCCUUGAUGGCUUUUAACAUCAUCUUCUCCAAGGCACAUGGUAAGACUAAAUUAGAAGUAUACACAAUACUCUAAGCAGAGUAAGUACUUGGUGAGUCCUGGCUAAUAUUGUCUCUGAGCACAGAGAGAGUCAUUGCCCAGUGUUGGAUGCCCCAAGAAGUUGUCAUUCUUGACAAAGCAGGCAAAAUAUCCCACCUCUAGGAUAGAAAAAGUCCAUUGAACUUGUUAAUAGGCCUUUUACUCUAAAUCACUCAGGAUUGUUUAGGCAUCCUUCAGAGACCUGUAGAUUUACGUCAGACAUAAGAUGCCCAUUGACAUAGCCAAGGAAAUGGAUUGAUGAUAAAUAGAAGCAAUGACUACUAAAGAGAAAGGCAAACAUUUGUUUUAUAUCACUCUGUUCAUUUAACUCAGAAUGAACAGCUUUAUACCUUCAAAGAAGUUUCCUAUACUAGACCUGACUGAAGUUUUACAUAUAAAAUAUUUUGCAAAUGAAUUUAAGCUAUUGCUACUAAAAUAUUUAGUGAUUUCAGGCAAUCAUUCUAACAUAUGUUGGCUCAAAACCGACUUUUAAAAGUUUUGCCUGGAGACAAAUUCUCUGU
RNAcentral lists this long non-coding RNA (3024 nucleotides) under Mus musculus (house mouse). RNAcentral describes it as "long non-coding RNA chrX:169691335-169694359". The record is from RNAcentral. Lineage: Eukaryota; Metazoa; Chordata; Mammalia; Rodentia; Muridae.